GGUUGGAUGGCCGAGCGGUCUAAGGCGCCAGACUAAGGAUCAGCUUCCUCACAGGAGCACCACUUGCUAGCGCAAUCUGGUCCGAAAGGGCGUGGGUUCGAAUCCCACUCCAAUCA
Non-coding RNA from Mycena vitilis, 116 nucleotides. Lineage: Eukaryota; Fungi; Basidiomycota; Agaricomycetes; Agaricales; Mycenaceae. The record is from the annotation of a GenBank genome assembly.